UACGUAGGUGGCAAGCGUUAUCCGGAUUUAUUGGGCGUAAAGGGUGCGCAGGCGGUUUACUAAGUCUAAGAUGAAAGCCCGAAGCUUAACUUCGGUUUGUUUUAGAAACUGAUAGACUUGAGUAUGGUAGAGGCAAAUGGAAUUCCUAGUGUAGCGGUGGAAUGCGUAGAUAUUAGGAGGAACACCAGUGGCGAAGGCGAUUUGCUGGGCUCUAACUGACGCUGAGGCUCGAAAGUGUGGGGAGCAAACA
RNAcentral lists this ribosomal RNA (250 nucleotides) under uncultured prokaryote. Its description in RNAcentral is "partial 16S ribosomal RNA". It matches the Rfam family "Bacterial small subunit ribosomal RNA", at positions 524 to 774 of the family's 1533-position model. The record is from RNAcentral.